ACGGAGGGUGCAAGCGUUAUCCGGAUUUAUUGGGUUUAAAGGGUCCGUAGGCGGGCUCGUAAGUCAGUGGUGAAAUCUCAUAGCUUAACUAUGAAACUGCCAUUGAUACUGCGAGCCUUGAGUAAGGUAGAGGUAGCUGGAAUAAGUAGUGUAGCGGUGAAAUGCAUAGAUAUUACUUAGAACACCAAUUGCGAAGGCAGGUUACCAUGUCUUAACUGACGCUGAUGGACGAAAGCGUGGGGAGCGAACAGG
RNAcentral lists this ribosomal RNA (252 nucleotides) under uncultured bacterium. Its description in RNAcentral is "partial 16S ribosomal RNA". It matches the Rfam family "Bacterial small subunit ribosomal RNA", at positions 525 to 776 of the family's 1533-position model. The record is from RNAcentral.